UACGUAGGGGCUAGCGUUAUCCGGAAUUACUGGGCGUAAAGGGUGCGUAGGUGGUUUCUUAAGUCAGAGGUGAAAGGCUACGGCUCAACCGUAGUAAGCCUUUGAAACUGGGAAACUUGAGUGCAGGAGAGGAGAGUGGAAUUCCUAGUGUAGCGGUGAAAUGCGUAGAUAUUAGGAGGAACACCAGUUGCGAAGGCGGCUCUCUGGACUGUAACUGACACUGAGGCACGAAAGCGUGGGGAGCAAACAGGGUUAGAUACCCUGGUAGUCCCUGAGCGGG
This 280-nucleotide ribosomal RNA is filed under the name uncultured prokaryote. Its description in RNAcentral is "partial 16S ribosomal RNA". It matches the Rfam family "Bacterial small subunit ribosomal RNA", at positions 524 to 803 of the family's 1533-position model. The record is from RNAcentral.